Molecule: ribosomal RNA, 253 nt
Filed under: uncultured bacterium
Lineage: Bacteria
Description: partial 16S ribosomal RNA
Rfam family: Bacterial small subunit ribosomal RNA
Source: RNAcentral
UACGUAGGGUGCAAGCGUUGUCCGGAAUUAUUGGGCGUAAAGAGCUCGUAGGCGGUUCGUCGCGUCGGCUGUGAAAACCCGGAGCUCAACUCCGGGCCUGCAGUCGAUACGGGCGGACUCGAGUUCGGCAGGGGAGACUGGAAUUCCUGGUGUAGCGGUGAAAUGCGCAGAUAUCAGGAGGAACACCGGUGGCGAAGGCGGGUCUCUGGGCCGAUAUUGACGCUGAGACGCGAAAGCGUGGGGAGCAAACAGG